GUGAAUCAUCAAAUUUUUGAACGCAAAUUGCACUCUCUUCUGAUAGUAGGCCUGUUUGAGGGUCAGCCUAAAAAAAAUCUACGUAGUCUCUGUUUCGCUGUGACAUUCGUCGGUAAUUGUGUCAUCUUAAACGUUUGGGUUUUUUAAGCGGCUUAAAAUUUUCUUUACUAUUCCACGAACGUUUCUGAGAUUUUCCUUCUUACACACGUUUAAGGUAUCGAUCUUUAUUAGACCUGUCCGUGGCAUCGGAUCGCGUCCAUAAAUAUUUCGUGAACUGACCUCAUCCAGGUAAGC
RNAcentral lists this unclassified non-coding RNA (294 nucleotides) under Glomus sp. Its description in RNAcentral is "partial contains 5.8S ribosomal RNA and internal transcribed spacer 2". The stretch from base 1 to 65 matches the Rfam family "5.8S ribosomal RNA", at positions 84 to 154 of the family's 154-position model. The record is from RNAcentral. Lineage: Eukaryota; Fungi; Glomeromycota; Glomeromycetes; Glomerales; Glomeraceae.